CGGGGCGUGGCGCAGCUUGGUAGCGCGCUUCGUUCGGGUCGAAGAGGUCGUCGGUUCAAAUCCGGCCGCCCCGACCA
Molecule: transfer RNA, 77 nt
Filed under: Anaerolinea sp.
Lineage: Bacteria; Bacillati; Chloroflexota; Anaerolineae; Anaerolineales; Anaerolineaceae
Description: tRNA-Pro
Rfam family: tRNA
About the family: Transfer RNA (tRNA) molecules are approximately 80 nucleotides in length. Their secondary structure includes four short double-helical elements and three loops (D, anti-codon, and T loops).
Source: RNAcentral